ACUCCUUUGAUUCAAACCUUUUAUAAAUAUUUUUUGGUAAUGUUUCAAUAUAAAUUUAUUGUGGAGAGUGAGUGUUGUACAUUUUAUUACUCUUUAUUUUGUAGGUUGAUAUGAAUGACAUGUGAAUGUGACCACUUCAUGUCUCUUCAAAUAGAAUAUUAUUAGUGUUUACAAAUUAUUUGACAUCAAGUGAUCAACAUUUAAACAACGACCACACUACAAUUGUUUGGUAUAAGGAGGUUCUUUUAAAAGUCAAUAUCUUCACUUGAUGUUUAAUAUGUAAUUGUUUUUCAACAACUGACAGCUUAAUCAGAAGAAGGGUUCGUCAAUUGAAUACUCAUUUUUUCUCAUGUGGUUGUGGGUCUCAAUAGGAUAUUGAUCAUAUGUUUUUGGCCUGCGACUGUUUUGGUCAAAUUUGGUUUGAAAUCUACAAUUGGUUUGGUUUGGUUUCAGUCAAGUUAGCUCAUGUUAAUGAUCACUUACUUCAAUUUUGAUCCUUGGUGGCUUCUAAAAAAAUAUUUUUCAACAUUGUAAUUGAUUUGGCUCUCUUGUGUUUAGAUUGUUUGGCAUGACAAGAAGGCUAGAGUUUUUAUAACAAAAGGGAGACUCUAUUCAUCAACUUAUAGGGAAAAUUAAGCUCCAAUCCUUCUUGUGGUUGAAAACAAAUCAUCCUAAUUUUGCUUUUAAUUAUCAUAUGCGGUGGCUUAACCCCCUUCUAUUUUUAGGAGUUCUUAUUUAGUUUUAGUUUCUCUUUUGUGUUUUUUAGUGUGUCUGCUCUGUGGCUUUAUCGCUUUGACUUUUUUUUGAUUCCUUGAUGUAACAAAUAUUUUUCUUCCUUAGUUUUCUUCUGGAACUUCUUGUGCUCCAAAGACUAAGAUGUUUGAUUAAUAUGUUUCAUUUUAGCUUUAAAAAAACGAAUCUUUUGUGAUAUUAAACGUGUGUUUGGAAACGCAAUGGGAUGUUACCAUAUGUUUUCUUUAUCCCAUUGUGUUACAAAAUAGUCUAUAAUUUUUUACGGGUUAACAUCUUUUUAACAAACACUCUUUUUUUAAGUGUUAACAUAUUUUUCAACACAUUCUUUUUAUUUGUUAAAAUUCACGUAAUUUCAUUAAAUUUAUAUGUAACCUACGUGAUUUUGUGAGACCUGUGUUAAUUUUAAACAAAAAAGUAAUAUUUCUUUCGGUCAUAUUUAUAACUAAAAAAUGAUUUUUAAGUAUAUUGAAUAAUUAAUAUAUUUGGUUACAUUUAAAGGUUAAAUAUAUUAAUUAUUCAAUGUACUUAAAAAAUUGUUUUUUAUUUAUAAAUAUGACCAGAAGGGGUAUGUAAGAGAGUGUAAUGUCAGCACUUUCAUAUACUUACGGUGCGGGGCGUACAUUGUAUUUAACAAUGCCACACCAUGUCGCUUGUUAUAUGUGCAUUUAUAAUAUACAUACAGCAUAUCACUGCGCUAAAAAAAAAAAAAAAAAAAAAAAAAACGGUCUAACCGUUAAUGUUGGCAGGGACAAUGCAUUGUUAUAUGCAGGGAUCGGGGUUCGAACCCCGAACAUUCCAUUUAUUCACCUUAUAAGGUGAAUUCUAACCACUAGAAUACCUGAUAAAAAAAAUGGUUUAGAAAAAAAUACCUACUACUAGGGUGCGUUUGAUUUGCUAAAAAAUGAAGGACAUGACAUAACAACUUUAGUUGUCCAGUGUUUGAUUUGUAAAACUGUUUCAGGUACAUGACAAACUGGAGGCAAUGGACAGGACAAAAACUCAUAUUUUUGUCCCUCACCAAACCACAACACAACUUUUCGUCCCACGUACAAGUUGUCUAAAAUACCAAAAUAACAUUUUGUCCCCCAAAAAUCGUAUAAAACAUAAAAUUACUCAAUGCCAUAAAAUAUUUGUCCUGUGUUGUUCUGCCUUGUGUUGUACUGUUCUGUCCAAUACUUACUAUUUUGCAAACCAAACACACUCCUAAUGUUUUGAUAUAACAAAGCAAGAGAAGAAUUUAUCUACAAACUGGUUUUAAAGUGUGGAAAACAAGAUCUAUAGAUAAAAGUUGUGAUUGACUCGUGCCUCUGGUCACAAUAUUGUGAAUCAACAAGUAUCACUUUGUCCCUUUGGUGAACCAAAAGAUGAUUAAUGUGACUCUGAUAUGCAUGAAGCUAUUAUAGUUCAUUAUCUAUGUCUGCCUCUGAUCAAGGAAAAAACUGCAAUAAUAUGAUGAACUCAAGAAAUAGAACCAAGCCUACAAAUGCAAAAUGUCUGAUAAAAAAUAUGUCCCUUACUCCCAACCAUUUACAAUCAGAAGCAAUUCAGUGAUUCUGACAAGAGAAGUCAAUGAGAUACAACCUUCCGGUAACAAGAACUUAGAAAGCAGUCUUGAUGAACUUCCGUCCUUGGUGAAAAAGUUGGUAACAUGGCAUAUGAUGAUGGAAAAACUUAUGAUAUUUUUAGCUAUGUUUUUAGUAUUUUUUUUUGCAUUUGAAGACAAAUUAAAAGUUAAUUAGAGGAGUUCUCAAUGUUUGAUGAACUUUUGUAUUGUUUUCAUUUGAGUUGUUGUAAUUCACUUUUAUCCUAAAUCAUGCAAUUAUAUAGGUGUUUUGAGUCUUUUUGGUGAGAAAUCAUGUAAAUCGGUAAAACAAGAUAUCACAUGAAGGAUUGAGGAUAUGAAGAUUGAAGUUCAAUGGUUCUUUAAAAGAUAUUUAAAGACAAUAUAAAGUGAAGAAAAUUCAUUUCAAGUUCCAAGGCAUUGCAAGGCGGAAGAAUGAGUGAAAAAGGGUCGAAAACUGCUGAAAUCGUGCAUGAGGGGUUGCCUCAUGUGCCCCCUACGCAUGGGAUAGUAAUGGCUACUGCCCCAUGUGUCCAUGCCCACCAAACCAUAUGCCAUGCGCAUGGACACAUAUUUUCACUCUCUUAACCCCUAAGUAAUCAUACACUAUAAAUAGAGAUCAUUGCACACUCUUUUAUUCAUUUAGAAAAGGCUAGUGGUUCAAGGCAAGAGUCAAACAAUAGGCGCUUCAAGGCAUAGGAUCUUCAUCCUCCUCUUGUUUUCUUUAUGAUAUUUUUUUUUUAUUGUUUUGUAAUGAUGGUGGUUGCCAUGAGCAACUGAACCUAUUUGAUUAGGGUUCCAUGAUGAAUCUCUUCUUAUUUGUUGAGUUUUAUUGAUAAAAAAUUUAUUCACUUUGUAUUUAAAAUUUGAUUUAAUUCGUAUAUGUUUGUUUCUAUACCAAUUCGUAGAUGGAGCAAUAUUAGGAUUGACAACCUUCACCUCCAUCCGAACAAGGCAAUAGUGAAUUGCUUAGUUUCUAAUAUAAUCAAAUCUAAACAUUUUCAAAGGGAAUCCCACAUUUUCAAACGAUUGAGUUGCGGGGAUUAAAAUAAAAUUUCACUGAUUCAUCACGGGGUUAUGUUCUACUUUCUCAAAUCCAAACAUAAGAAAAGUUAUAAACUAAUGAUUUCUAUAUUUAAUUUUCAACAAAGACGAAGGAGGAUUCGAGGAUUCCCUAAUCACCAUUAAGCUACCAUACCCGUAUCUUAAGUAGAAGUUAAAGGGAAAAGAAUCUACCUCUCCAACCGAAAGUUGUAAUGCCAUCCUUCAUAGACGGCCACUUACAAAGAAAAAUGACCCAAAAAGUUUCAACUCUAUUGGGAAGUUAUCCAUCAAUAAAUCUUAGUGUGAUAUGGGUGCAAGCAUCAAAUUGAUGUCGUUACCUACAAGAAGGAUUGAGAGUUCAAGUAAAUCCCUCAAAUGUCGCUCUAACACUUGCAGAUAGGUCAAUUAAACAUCCAUAUGGAGCAAUUAAGGACAUGGUUGUACAAGGAGAUAAUCUUUCCUUUCCAUCGAACAUUGUGACAUCAGAGACUCAAAGGAAUAUUCAUUCGAAGCAAAAGUCUCAUUAUUCUCCGUUAAGGAAGGGCAAGAAUUACAAAACUUACAAAGUGGAUCAUUGGAACACUUACCUUUCUGUGUCAGAUUCAUGGAAGCCUUACCAAACAAGAGGAAGAUGAAAAGUGAUGAGUUAUUGCUUUGAUAUCAGCCACCCUAACCGGGGUAGAGGCGUCAAGCUAAUGACAUGAAACCGGUGUUGAAUGGGAGGCAACCCAUAAUUUUAUUUUGAUGUCGCUGAAUGGGAGACAACCCAUAUCUUUAUUUUCAGUCAUUUUUAUUACAUAGCUAUUUCAUCUAAAAAAUUCUCUCUUUUAUUGUUUGCUAACUCGCGGUUAGGGGCGUUGUUUUUACAUGAAUUGCAUAACCUUUCUUUUUUCAAAAAUCUAAAAAAAAAUGUUUUAGUCUCGAAGAAUUAUUCCAACCAUUAACAGUAGAGAGGAAACUUCCUUCCGAAGUUUAAGAACACGAUAACUUGGCUUACUGCAAAAGAUACUCAGAAAUAUUCACCAUUAUACGGUUAAACAAAGGAGAAGAGUUUAAAAUGACAAAUUUACCUAAGUAAAAAACUCACCGAUGGAAUUAAGUUUGGUUUUUCCCAACACUUAUAUGGACCAACACUGCAACGUUUUAGCGUACCUUGUAGGCAUAGUUCAUUUGAGAUUGUGUCUGAUUUCAAUUGAAAUUGUUCAUAUUCUAAUGUUGUUUUAGCUUUAUUAUCAUUUCAUAAAUUCUAUUAUUUUUUGUUAACCCUUCAGUUUAUAUGAGAAGAGGUCCUCGUAAUCUCAAAUUCGAUCGUGAUCUAACUAUAACCUGAUAAAGAAUUGAUCCACCUAAAAAUCAAAUUCGAGUUCUCUAAAACAGUUUGUUGUUUGAACAAAUUUGUUAUACACUUAAGAGUAAUUGUUUGGUUUAAUAUUCAUGACCCACAUAACGAGGAUGCAGUUGAGCAAUACAUAACUUUCACUUGAAAACUUCUCACACGGUCUCUUUAAGAUGCCGAAACAUCCACUGAUCCACUUCUAGACAGAACAGGACCAACCGACGCUACUGCUAAACAUAAAUAUUAAUGUCCAUUAAUGAAUGUGUUGUUGUAUGUCUAAAAAUAUUAUUAAAUGUGUUGACUAAUUUUGAGAAUACAAUUCAUGCAACUACACGUGAUUCGUUUCCAUUUAAUUCAAUCAACGUACACAUUCAAGUACAAAAUUUGUACAUGCCUCUCUGCCUAUACCUAAUAAACAAUUUGUAUGAGUAAAAAAAAAACAAUUUCUAAUAUGGUACGUACUGAUUUUAAUUAUUUUAUGGACACAUGACCUUAUUAGUACAGCUAGCGUACCAAUUUUUUACUCAAAAUAUGUAAACAACACAAAAAAUUACAACAAUUAAUUAGUGGCAAAUGAUAUACACCAACUAAGAGAGGCUUAAUGAAUUAAGAAUAUUUUAUUCUUUAUUAAUUAUUCCCUUUAUUCGUGGUGCAUGCAUGCAUGCUUGGAUUAAUCGUGGUUAAAGAGUUGUUAACCAUGAUUAAGAGACUUAAUUAGCAGCAGAGCAUGACCCUUGAAUCCAACUAUGCUCUGACUAGGCUAGCUUAUAAUAAUCUACCCACAUGCAAAAACGUAUUAGGGAUAUUUCUACGGGUUACUAAUGGUCUUCCUUCAAAAAAAAAAAAAAAAACAGGUUACUAAUGAUCUGUUUGGACUUUAACAUGUGUUAUGUCAAAUAAUUGUUUUUAGCAUGUAGUUCAAUUAAUACGUUUGGUUUCUCAAGUAAUAAAGUGAAAAAAUACUUUUAGGAAAAUGUUAACUAGUGUCUUCGAGAAGGAUAAUACUAUCUCUGUCCUUAAUUAUAUGAUCCUUUAGAAAAAUAACGGGAAUUAAGAAAAUUAAAAGUGAUAUUGCUUUUAUAAUUUUAUUCUUUAAGAGAAAGAAUUAGAAUAUGUUUUCAACAUAAUAUUUAAUGCUAAUUGAAGAAAAAUAUAAAAUAAAUAGGGGUGUGUUAGUAAAGAAUUAAUUUUUUUUGAAGAAGCUAAAAUGGAAUUUCAUUAAACAAAUCUCUUUACUCUCACCGCACAAGGUGUGCUGAAGAGAAACAAAGAGAAAAAUCAAGUUACAUCAGAAACAUAGUAGUUUGUUGAUUUGACGGAAAAAUUCAAAUCUCUUUACUCUCUCUUUAUUCAUGCAUGAAGGAGAUGAAGAAGUUUGUUGUUUUUGAGAUAAAAAUAGUAAAUAUUUGGAAGAAUAAAAAUGAAGAAAAAUGUAUUUUUCUUUAAAAGGGGUACCCUAAUUUAUGGAGGGGUAACAUAGAAGAAGAAAAAACGUUCAAAUAUGUAUUUUGCAUAUUUUAGACAUCAUUUUUUUUUUUGCUAAAUAUUUUCCUCUAGCAUUUGUUAGAUGUUCAACACCUAAAGACAAAAAUCUAAUGUCAUUUUAAAUAGAAAUAUUUAUCACAAGAAAUGGUGGUUGAAUUAUUAUAUUUUUAAAUUUUAAAUUUGUGCUUAAUAAAUUUUGUCUAAUUGUAAAAUUGGAAAGAACAUAAUGUUAGUGAACCUUCUCUUGAUGCGUAUGUUAUGAAGUCACUACGCCAAAAAAAAGUGAUCUAUUAUACUCCUUUUUUUGUCAAGUCCUUUUGAAUAUUCUUGAUUGUCUUUGUAAUUUUAUCUUUUAAUUCUUAUAAGAAAUAUGUUAACAUAACACUAUUUUUUUUUUAAACAGAAAACGCAUACUCUAACACGUAAAAUUAAAGGGAGUGUAAACUUGUGUGUUUGCUUCACUCCCUCCAUGCAUGCAUGCAGUAACCCUGCUCUCGUACGAGUGAUCUCAUGCUACCGCAUGGCCACACAGUGGAAAAUCUUGAUAUUCUCAAAACAUGUUGAUUUUUUUCUCUUCAAAAUAUCAAAAUUAAUUGAAUCUAAGUACUAUUCUCCCAACUAUAGUUGAUACAAAUGGUUGGUUUUUUUGCCUACGUGUAAUUUAGGUUUAAAUUUUCAAUGCUACGGUUGACUAAUUAUUUUUUUGAACAAGUACGGUUGACAAAUUAUAUGUAAAUUAUAUUGUAAAUAUCUUGCAAUAUUAAUUAUGAAAAAAGAAUUAUAAGUACUAUUCCGCAUCUUAAUUAUAAUUAUUUUACUAGUUACAAACCCGUGCGUUGCACGGGUUUAAUAACGUAUUUUAUAAAAAAAAAUAUUUUAAAAGAAAAAUGAUCAAAUUAAUGAAUAUUGCACAAACAUUAUAAAUCUUUAUCAAAAUAUUUAUGAAAGCUUUAUCAAGUCUUUAAUACACAUUAAUAUUUGUGAUGAUUGAUAAAAGAAUUAAAAAGAGUAAAGGGUAUAGAAAUAAAUUUAUUAAAGAAUUAACGAUUUGUUUAAACUUAUUUUUGUUACAAUUUAGACCAAAAAAGAUAUUGGACUUCAUUGAGUUUCUCUAUAAUUUUUUUAUCAGGCUUGAAGUUAUGACUCUGAGUUUGAAAACCGCAAAAUUCACAAAAAUUAUUGAAGAAACACUAUAAACAAAUAAACGGCAUCGUCAAAAAUGAAAUCAUAUUUGGCUAUAGUGAUCAAGCAAACAAAAAAAAAGAAGCAUAUUAAAUACCUAUAAUCAAUGGAUUCUAAUUGCAUAGAGGCGACACUUAUACUUUCUCCAUGUUUGUUCAUCAAUGAGAGUGAUUAUUUUGCGCUUUCCUUUCAGAAUUGUUCUUGACACCUAGUUUGGGAAAUGCUAAACAGGGAAAUAACUGUAAUAUUAAUCUAAUGCAUAUUAACAUGGAUAAGAUGUAUGCGAAUAUAGUUAUAUAUAACUUAUGAAAUGAAGGUAACAUAACUGAUUUUAAGCUAAAGAAAAUGUAUCAUGACUUCUAAUUUAUCUUUCUAUUAUCUUCCUAUAAAGUCUAGAGAAAUGCAUGCAUGUGCAUUAUAUGUACCCCGUUGACCAAUUAACAUUUUUGAAACAAAUGAAAAUUAAGCAUCACUCCCGCAUGUGCAUCUAUAGCUAACACCAUUUGACAUUGAUGUCUUCGAACAUUUGGUGCAACUCUCAUAAUACCAUCCAAACUGGUUAGGAUUGAAUUUAGUUGUUUUUCCAAAUAGUGAUGGAGUAUGUAUCCUAACACAAAUUAUGCACGUGAAAUAAAGAAUAGUGCAAUAUGCAUUUUUAAUUUGUGCGUAAAAAAACUCAAAGCAUGUUUGUGCAUAAAAAACAAAAAAAAAACAGACCUUGACUAAGUUUAUAGAUUCAUCAAUUGGCCUAACUUGAGACAGAUUGGAAAAAUCGUUCUACGAAGUACUUUUUAAACUUUACUUUUUAAUCUAUCUGAGCUUGAGAAGUGUUAAGUUCACGACAACAAUUCAAGAAACAUGGUCAAUAAACAAUCAAAUCAGAUUGUGAAAUAAUAAGUUACUCUAACACUGUAUUGUGAAAUCAUAAUGCAAACUUACUAAGUCUUAAACUUUUCAACAACCGGAUGAUGUAGGUUGAUGAGCAGCCUCGAACCUGACCAAUUGUUACAUCUAUUUGCGUUGUCAUUGACUACAAAAUAGAAGCAAAGAAUUCAAGGUAAAUAAAUGGUAAAUGAUAAAGCUACAAAGUAUUUUACCCAUAAUGUUACAUCAACUAUAUUCCCAAUGCUCUAAAUCUCUAUAUCGAGUUAUUACAUGAACUCGAUCACCCUAAAUCCGAGAAAGAAACCAAAAAAUAUAAAUAAAUCAAAAUGUAUACUAAUAAGUAACAUUGAUAAAUCAUAAAAGAAAUUACUACAAAUCUUAACUAACUUAUCUAACCUUUGCAUCACAAAUAAUGAGCUUCAUAUGUUGAUUCUCAUUACUACCAGUCACAAUUCAAGAAUCCAGUACUCCAAAUCCUAUUUUCCAAACGUCUAAAUCAUUUUUGAGAUACUUAAUGUAGUCAUAAUCCCUUGACAUUGAAAUUCAUAUAUAGAAAUACAAUAAUACAUCAUUUAAUUUUAUUCCCUUUGUUCAUUCUGAUAUCGAAAGAAGCUAACAUAUUUCUAUGUGAUCAAUUUUUGUAUCAUCAAAUUAACCUGAUCUUAAAUGUACAAAUUUCUAUCAUCAACUUUCUGGACCCCAAUGAUAUGAUCAAAACAAAUUUACACCAAUCAACUUUUUGCACGGCUCAAUGAUAUACGAAAGAAUAAAUAAAAUAUGAAAACUGUUACAACUUUAGGAUUACUCACAAAAACUAAAAUAAUUGAAAUGCAUCAAUUAUUUUCAACUCCUGUACCAGAAGCUAAAAUAACAAUUGUGUCAAAACCUUACCAUCAGUUAAAAUUCAGUCAUCAUGACCUCUACUAUACUCCACAUAACAAAAGACGAUUUUUCUACAGCCAUGCAACAUAACAAAUUUUGGUACAUAAUCCAAUAACAAUUGGAAAAAAAAAAAAACCCUUAAAAUGCAUAAUCAUGAAAAAAGGAAGAAAACCAUCUAUGAUGAAGCAAAAACUAAAACGGUGUCGAAAAAUGAAGCCCUUAAGCCAUAAAAAUCAGUCAACUCAAGUCAUGCAUGGUCUCAGAACCAUGAAAAAAGAUAGAAAAUGACCUUUUUUUUUUUUGUGGUGGCCGGGGUUUGAACUCCGGACCUUGCAUAUUUUAUGCAUUGUCCUACCAACUAAGCUAAGCUCACGAGGACGAAGAAAAUGACCUCUUAUGAAGAAGAAAGUGAAACAGUGUUCCCGACUGAACUUAGAUACCGUUUGGUCGAGGUUUUUUACAGUCUAAAAGUUACUUCAAAACAAAGUAAAAAUAAAGGCCUUUAAGAAAGAAACUAAAGUUAUUUGGUUUUUUUGUUUUGUUAGUUUUAAAGCUAUUUAAGUUUAAUGUUGUUUGACAAAAUAUUGUACAAACUUUGAAUUUAUUAUUUUUUAUAUGGUGUCUGGGGUUCGAACUCCGGACUUGGCAUGUAUUUAUGCAUUGUUCCAAUCAACUGAGCUAAACUCAUGAGGACAAAACUUUAAAUUUAUUAUUAAUUAACAUAAUAAAUAAAUAAAAUGUUUAGAAUAAUUUAUGAAGGCUAAAAAUGUUAAAAAAUAAAAGAUAUUUUUUUUACAAAUACGAUAUUUACUCAAUAACGUUUAUUUUGUGUAACAUGAAUACAAAUUAAUAUCAUCAUAUAAAUAACUUGUUAAAUAUUUGAAUAGGAGAAACAAUUUAAGGAGUCUGGAAUAAUAAUAUAAAUAAUAUCAAAAUAUUUGAUUUUUUCUAUUUCAAUUAUACUCUAUAACAAAUUUCGUUAUAAGAAUACCAUAUUUUUUGUGUCUUUCAAAAAGAUAAGAAUUUAUAUUAUAUGAUAUUAUAUUUGUUACAUUGUUGGUGUCAUGGAAACAGAUAUGUUUAAUUUUUUUGAACAUGAAAAUGAUAUGCAUAGUUUGUUACGAUAUAAAGGUGCAAUAUAUAUAUACACCUUUUUAGGCAUCUAUACCUUUUUUUGAAGAAAAGACAUCUACAAUUUUACUUUUAAUUAAAAUUUAAAUUUUAUAAAAAUAAUCAUACGCAUUAUGCAACGCUAAAAAAAACUAUACACAUUAGCGUAACAAAAAAACAGACACACAUAAAGAAUUACUCUAAACGCUAAUGUGUAUGUGCGUAUAUAUUUGCGAGGUUGAAGAAAGAAAAUACAAAUAUUUGAUAUCAUUAAAUGACAGCGUGAAUAAAAAUAUUUGUGAAGUUGUGAUGAUUAAACGAUAUUGAAAUUAUAAGUGAUAAAAAGAUAAUAAAAUUCCUUUGAAAAAAAGGUAAUAAAAUUAAAUGGAACCUCCUUAAAAAAAAUUAAAUUGAACGCUUCAAAUUAAAUGGAAGAAAAAAAUAUAUUGAAGUAUAAUAUUAAAAAAUAAAAAAAAAAGUUCCCAACGUGAAUUGAAGAGAGAUGCUUGUGAAAUAAAUUGUCGAGAAGUAGUUUUUUGAAGAAGCAUUCAACAACUUUUGGUCAAAGUUCAUUGCAUUAAAAGGUACAUUUUUUAGAAAGUACUUAAUUGAUAUUGUAUUUAACCUAACUUCUCCUUAAAAAUAUAGGGAAGUUGAAAAAAAAACCGGGUCAAACGGUAUCUUAGUUUCCCACAACGGCAGUGUAGAAACAACUGAAUUUGGGAGAAAAAAAUUGGAAAAUAAUUAAAAAUAAAAAAAAUUGAAAAAUAGUUAAAAAAAAUCGGUGAGGUAGCACCUAACCAAACAACACUAAAAAAAAUUAUAUGCAUCAGCGUAACAAAAAACAGACAGACGGACAUAAAAUAUUACUCUAAACGUUAAUGUGUGUGUAUAUAUUCGCGAGGUUGAACAAAGGAAAUAAAAAUAUUUGGUAUCAUUAAAUGACAGCGUGAAUAAAAAUAUUUGUGAGGUUGUGAUGAUUAAACAAUAUUGAAAUUAAAAUAAUUAAUAUUGUGUUUGACCCAACUUCUCCUUAAAAAUUUAGAGAAGUUGAAAAAAGUCGGGUCAAGCGAUACCUUAAUCUCCCACAACGGUAAUGUAGAAGCCAUUGAAUUUGGGAGAAAAAAUUGAAAAAUAGUUAAAACUAAAAAAUAAAAAAAUCGGUAAGGUAGCACCCAACCAAACAACACCAAAAAAAAAUUAUAUGCAUUAUCGAAACAAAAAAAUAGACAAACAGACAUAUAAUAUUACUCGAAACAUUAAUGUGUGUGUAUAUUCGCGAGGUUGAAGAAAGGAAAUAAAAAUAUUUGAUAUCAUUAAAUGACAACGUGAAUAAAUAUAUAUGUGAGGUUGUGAUGAUUAAACAAUAUUGAAAUUAAAAUAAUUGAUAUUGUGUUUGACCUAACUUCUCCUUAAAAAUAUAGAGAAUUUGGAAAAAAGCCGGGUCAAACGAUACCUUAAUCUCCCACAACGGCAAUGUAGAAGCAACUGAAUUUGGGAGAAAAAAUUGAAAAAUAGUUAAAAACAUAAAAAUUGAAAAAUAGUUAAAAGUUAUUAAAAAUUAGAAAAUAAUUUAAAAAAUUGGUGAGGGGUAAAAUGGGAAAUUUGGCAUAAAAAAGAUGAGGUGGCACCAAACCAAACCCACCAAUUAGAAAAUUACUUAAAUGCCCAUUCCAGGGACAAAAUGGGAAUUUCAUAUGGCAUCAAUUUUAAUAGAGUAUAUAGAUUAUGAGUACUUGGUACGUAGUAGAGGUUUCUUUUAUAGGUUGUUAUUUUAUGCAUUGGUUCAGGAAGACUUUAUUAUUAUUUAUAUAUAAUAUAAACAUUAUUUUUAGUAGAUAUAUGGGAAUAUAAACAUUUAGUAGCUAGACUGAGUUGUGACUACUUAUGCAAAUUAAAUGACAUCAACAUAAUAAUGUUGAGGGAGCCACAAAUGGAUCCACGUAGCUAUUUCAAAUAUUUAUUUGGAAACAACUUUCUUCCCACUUGUUUCAGAUUUGGAGGCUAUCUCAUUAAAGUAUAUAUAUCGUAUUUUUAAUGACUAAAGUUCAAUAUGACCAAGUGGUUGAGUUUGGCCUUUGUUUUGAAUUGAAAAACUCGUUUGCUAGGAAGCCCCACAUGAGAGGAGACUUUGAAUUAAAAAUGCAUUUUUUGUUUUAUGUCAUUGAUUCAUGCAUGAAUUCAAGCCAUUUGAAUUUUACUUGAUCUUUUGGGUCUACUUGCUAGUUGGCCGUUGACUUGAGACUGUGACAACAACAUAACAACUCUCAUAUCCAAAACAUCUUGAGAAGGAAAGGUUUAACUCUUCUAAUAUGAAAUAAUUGAUGUUGUUUUCAUAACAAACAUAUGAUUUAUUAUGAAGUAUAUGAUUUAUCUUAACACGAUGUAUGUUUUAAGUGUCUAUGGUUUGGGCCUGCGGGCUAUUAUUUCAAAGCUCAAUUUGAAGAACCUAAACUUCAAAUUUCACAUGUCACGCAUCAAUAGGAUAUUAAAAACCAUCUAAGACUAAAUUGAUAUUGAGUGGUUGAAAAUAAUGAUCAACCUGGUAGUAAGUAAGUGAUUAAAAUAUGGGGAUUUUAUUGACCGUAAAUGGUUAAAUAUAGAGACCAACUUGACAUUUGAGUAGAGUGAGAGAUCUUUAUCUAAGAACAUGUUAAAGAUUAAAUUGAUAGAAAGUGGUUGAAUAUAAUGAUCAAAUUGAUGGUAGAUCAACUUGAUAGAAAGUGGUUAAAAUAUAGGGAUCUAAUUGUAGGUAAAUUGUUAAAUAUAGAGAUCAACUUGAUGUUUUAAUAGAACCAAGACACCUUUUUAAAAUAGUUUUAAUUUGAGGAAGUCAUUUAAGAAUAUCAUACAAAAUCAAAGAUUAAUUUGAUAGUUUACUCGUAAAAUAUUAUAAAACUUUGACAUCUAUCUAUAUAUGGAUAGAUGAAUGUGUGAUACAGAGUCAAGGAGCAUAAGUUUCUCGCAUCACCUGCUUCCAUACAUCCAUACAUACAUGAAAGUGAGAAAUAUUGCAAAAAUUUGAGGAUUUAAAAAUAAAAUAAAAAAGUACAUGAAGAAAGUCGAAUGGGGUAUAUAUCUACAUGUUCUAAAAAAAUCCCUAAUGUUCUCAAAGUCGAAUAGGGUAUAUAUCUUCUCAAAUUUUUUACAUGCAUGUUCUCAAAAGACAAGUACUUAAAGGAAGCCAUUUGAACCAAUCAAAAUCAAUUUUUUCUAGAUUACCCUUCAUGAUAUCAAUCAAUCAAAAUGUAAUAUACAUUGACAAUAUUAAAUGUCAUAAAUGAGUCAAUUUUUUCUAUAAAAAAAAAAAAUCAAUUUUAAUCAUAAGGGAACUUUUAAUACUUUUAAUUUUUAUUAAAUUAUAGACAGGAUUACAUUAGAGGUCCUUUAUCUUAUUUAUUUGUAACACUUUGGUCCUUUAUCUUUAUUUUUAUUUCCGUUUACGUCUUUUAUCUCUCAUAAAAGCACAUAUACAUCAUUUUUCUCAUUUUUUUAUUAAAAAAAUACAUAAUGUUAUUUUUUUAAGUAUAUUUUUAUUAAAGAUGAAAAAAUUCAGAAUUAUGAUGAAGAUGUUCAUCAUCUUCAUUGAAUCAAAAAAAUUUCUACACAAAUAUAUUUCCAAAUAUCAUGAAUUAAUGUUAUGUUCACCUCAAAUCUUCUUUUAAACACAAAAAUCAAAACCCUAUGGAGAAAAAGAUUUAGUUUCAUCACAAAAAAAAAAAAAAAAAAAAAAAAUUAGUUAUAUAAAUUGUCACACCGUAUAUUAUUAUUAUUUUCUAAAACUCAAUAUUCAAACCCGGCAUAAAAAUAACCCCAAAAUUGAUAGCAGUUUUGCACAUCAAUUUUGUUGUUUCCAAAACAAUCUUAACUUUCGUAAAGCCUAACCCUUCCGCCGGUGACUAAGCCUCCACCAUCCGCCUUGCAACAUUUGUGAAAUUAAGGUUUUGAAUUUUGUCUUUAAAAGAAGAUUUGAGGUGAAUACAACAUUAAUUCACGAUAUUUGGAGAUAUAUUUUAGUAGAAUUUUUUUUUAUUUAAAGAAGAUGAUGAAGAUUCAAAGGAAGAAGAUGAAGAUGAUGAACAUCUUCAUCAUAUUUAUGGAUUUUUUUUCAUUUUUAAUAAAAAUAUAUUUUUAAAAAUAAAAUUAUGUAUUUUUUAGUAAAAAAUAAGAAAAAAGAUGAAUAUGUAAAGGACCUAAACGGAAAAACAUAAAGAUAAAGGAUCAAAGUGUUACAAAUAAAUAAGAUAAAGGACCCCUAAUGUAAUCUUGACUUAAUUAUAUUUAGUUGUUCAAUCUUAAUUAAUUUACACUACAUGACUGGCUUAGAACAAUUAAAAUUUCACAUCAAAUUUCUUUCAUCUGAAUGUCCUUAAAUUUAUCAGUUAUAUUCAUAAAAUUUCUUCUUCCCAUUUUGAUUGUUCAAUUUUGUCGUUCCAAACUGCCGCAUUUUUUAAUUUUCGUGAGAAUCGUCGUCGUUUGUUUGAUUCCAAAUAUCGUGAGAAUUGUCGUUAUUUCCAGUACCACGUCAAGUAUGGUGAUUUGAUUUUUCUUUUUGAUUUGAUUUUUUUUUUUUUUUGUGAGGUAGUUAAUUAUAACAAUUGAGUAAGUCAUCUGUUGUACUUUGAGGACUGCUAGCAGGUGUUGCCGCUGUGAUGUUGUGGGAGUCUGCUAACAUUUUUUUCGGUUGCUGCUGAAAUGGUUAUGUGAUGAGGCUUUUGUUCUUUUGUUUUGACUUAAAGGUUUUGGCUGAUAGUGAGGCAGGUCUAUACGUGUUAGCAUAUUUUAUUAGGUUGGCUGCUUAAAUAAAAAAAGUCACGAUAUCUAACGCGGUUCUAUAAACAACGACAAUUCUCACUAUAAUUGGAAACUGCGGUAGUUUGGAACGAAAAAAUUGAACAAUCAAAAUAGGAAUAAGAAUGAAAAAGAAACAAGAAUUGAUCAAUAUGGAAGAAUAAAGAAGAAGAAAUUUGAAUGAAGGAGAUGUUUUUGUUCUCACGUUCGGGGUUCUAGAAUGGAAGAAAUUUUAUGAAUGUAAGUGAUGAAUUUAAGGACAUCCAGAUGAAAAAAUUUGAUGUAAAAUUUUAUUUGUUAUAAGUCUUGUAGUGUAAAUUAAUUAAGAUUGAACUUCUUAAUAUAAUUAAAUAAAAAUUAAAAGUAUUAAAAGUUACCUUAUGAUUAAGAUUAAUUCUCCUUAAAAAAAAAUUAAGAUUAACUCUUUUUUGUCCAAAAAAAAAAGAUUAACUCUUUUAUUUUUAGAAAAAAAUCUACUCAUUUAUUUGAUAUUUAAUGUUACCCAUGUAUAUUACAUUUUGAUUGAUUGAUAUCAUGAGAGGGUAACGUAGGCCUCUAAAUUUGUUACAAAUGCUUGAGAAACAGGUUGCAUAUACUCCCUCCCGUCACAUUAAAUUUUUAGGUUUAUGGAAUAAUUAAUGUAUUUUGUCACAUUUGUAGACCAUUAAUGCAUUUGGUCACAUUUGUAAACCAAAUACAUUGGUUAUUCAAUGAACCUAAAAAGUUGUUUUUCGUUUAUAAAUGUGACUGGAGGGUGUACAUAAAUUAAGUACCAUAAUGUACUGAAAAUUAAGUAUACAUUUUCCCAUGAGUGGCUCAUCAACAAGUACUAUAUCUAUUGGGAGUUGUAGUUAUCGAUAUAAUACUUGUUUUUUUGAAGAAGACAAAAAAACCAAGUACUAUAUCGAUAACUACAACUCCCAAUAGCAACCAUGAAACAUUCCUCAUAAUUGUCAUAAUAAAACUACAACUUUGUUUACCUAUUUAGUACAGGUUUCCUGCAUCAUACGUGUAUUUUUUCCACAUCCGGAUUUUAAAAUUUGAACAUGUAAAGUGGACUUUUUACACAUUUAGAUUGUAAUAUCCAGAUGCAAAAAUCCAUAAGAAAAAAAUUAAUCGCAGUUGUAUUGUGGUUUUUUUCCUUUCAUAACGGUAGGAAAGCACGCUCUGGAUUUGUUAAUCCAAAGAUCACAAACACGCUCCAAAAUCUACAUUCAGACAUGUAAAAAAAUGGAUACUUUUGAGUUUAUGGAGGGCGUUCAAGAGUUGUUGGGGGGUGGGAAAAUGAUUUUACUUUGUUUGGUAAAACAUUAUCAAGAAAUUAAAAAGGGGUUUGUCUAUUGGGCUAUUCCUUUGUUCUUAUAGAAGCCCAUACCUAAAUGACUAUGACCUAAGAAAGAGAAUAUCUUUUUCCACCCCAUGUUCUUCUUGUGCGCGCCCUCCAAUUUGAUCAUUUUGUCCAUGUUCAGAUUUUAUUAUCUAGAACAUAUCAGACAUCUUUCGGAAUAAAAAAUCUAAAAUGUUUAUUUCUAUAUCUCAAAUCCCUCCUCCGACAAUUCAUCCUCUUUUUUUUUAUAUAAAAUGAAAAACUAAUUCAAAUUAUGUAAUAUUAACCCUGCAUUUACAUAAACAUACCAAUUUUCUAACUAUAAUUUGCAGUAUUUCAAAUAUGGAUGCUCCUAUUGAUAUCCCCUCUAAUUUGAUAACUCACAUUACACCUCCAAUUAAGGAACCUCAUGUUGAUGUGAAGUCACACGUUGCACCUCAAGUUGUGGAUGAUCCGACCAAUGCAAAAGUCGAGGUUCCACCUUGAAUUGAUAAUCCUUUCGACAAUAUCAAAGUCGAUAUUCAACCUCCAAUUAAUAAUCCUUAUAGCAAUGCAAAAGUCAAGGUUCUACAUUCAGUUGAUAAUCUUUUCAUAAAUGUCAAAUGUGAAGUUCCACCUCCAGUUGAUAAUCCUUCUGACAAUGUCAAAGGAAAAGUUCCUCGUCAAAUUGAUAAUUCUUCUACUGAUUACUCCUCGUCAAUGGUGAACAUCUGUAGCUGAACUUAUCUAAACUUUAGUUUAAAAAAUAAAUAGUGAGUAUGAGUAGUUCACGAAUAACUCAAUUCUCUUUUCUUUCUUUUUAACAAAAAAACAACAUAAUAUUGUUAGGUGAAUACAGUGGUAUCCAUAAAGUUUGGUUGAAUAUGUAUUUUUCAUUCAAUUAUUAAAUGACAGUCAUAUUUUUAUAUUAAUUUAUUUAAAAAUAAAAUAGAAUUUAAAUGAGUUUUGCAUAAUAUUGGUACCGGCCAAACUUCACAUGCCAAAAAAUUUACCUUUUUCUUUAGACGAAUUUACCAUUUUUUUUAUAUGACAAUUCAAAACCUCUCUUUUUUUUCCUUAAAAAAAAAACAUUUUUUUGUUGAAAUAAUUCAAAACUUUCCAUCAACGAUAUACUACAGUACAGGAAUAUAAAAAGCAUGCAUAGAUCCAAAUCCAAUUAUAGAGUUGUUGAAAAAGCUUUGCUGGUAUUGAUUAAUAAAAUAAUAUUUCAUUUUCUUUAAAAUAAAGAUAUUACAUUUUGACCAAAUACAUUAUUUGCCUAACUUACUUAAUUAACUUUUUUUUUUUAUUAAUAUGCAAAGACAAAUGUUUAUAUAAUAUUUUUAAAAUGUCAAUAUUUUAUAGUUUUUGUUAAUAGAUAUUUAAAAAUAUGAAUGAUUAAAGUUUUUAGUUGGAAUAAUGUGAUGUUAGUAGAACCAAAAUAAUAAUAAUAAUAAUAAUGAUGAUAAUGUCCAUGUUGAGAAAGCAAACAAGUUGACCAAGAACAUAACAACAGUACCACUUUCACAACAUCCUCCUCGUAAUACAAAUCAAUCUCAAAUCAAUUCUUCUUCUACUUCAAACGACAAAGAUUACAAUGAUAUCAAUACAUCGUUUAUUGUGAAAGAAAAAAAAAACUAUAAUAUUUCACAAAAAUGGCUUGGAGAAAUGGUUGUGAAGAAGUGACACAAUCAAAACCAUUAUUCCUCACGAUCUACACUGUCGUUAUCAUUGGAAUUGUUGUUUCAUCUUUCUAUGUUUUUUCUGCUAUUUAUUCCAGUAACACUCCUGCUUCUCAAUCUUCUGCAUGGCUUUCUUCUUCCAUCUCCAGUAUGUCUCUCAACUUUCACUCUGUUUUUCUCUUAUUCAUCAUCUUAAUUGUUGUUUAUAUUGUUUAGAUCAUUAAUUUAUUAAUGUAAAUGUAAUUGAAUUUGAGCUAUGGAGUGUGGAGAAUUAGUUCAUUUGUAGAUGAUGUACUAACUAGUUCUUUUGCUAUGCUAUUUAUAAUUCAAUUCUUGUUAGAAAAGGAAAGUGGGAUUAUUAUUAUUUUUCUGCAUUUUUUUUUUGUGAUUUAAGAACCAACACGAUAAUAAAGUAUGGUCGAAAAUAGGCUUAGGUGGUUUGGGCAUUUAGAGAGAAGACAUGUAGAUUUUGUAGUAAGGACAGUGGAUCAGAUGGAGGAUAGUCGGAUCACUAGAGAUAGAUGAAGACUUAAAAAAACUAUAAGAGAAACUAUCAGGAAAGAUUUAGAGAUUAAUGAGUUGGAUCCAUAUAUGGUUUAUGAUAGAACAUUAUGACGUAAUUUGAUCCAUGUAAUGUAGCCGACCCCAGUUAGUGGGAUAAGGCUUGGUUGUUGUUGUUGUGGUUGUAAACUCUGGCUAGGUUCCGAGUGGAACUAAAUUUGGAUCUCUUGAGCAAGGUUCCUCCGGGUUUGAGCCUUGUCUAUAGCGACAAUAUAGUGUAGCAGAAUUUGGACAAACCACUAUUGUUUUGCGAUACACUAUUUAGUAAAAAAAUGUUGUCAAAUUGCAGCUAUAGUGGCACUAUAGCACUAUUGUACAGCAUAAUUUUAACAAUCCGCUAUCUGCAAUUGACAACACUGGUUGAAAGAGGUAACCUCGUUUAAGGCGAUCGACCAGAUUUUUAGACAGAGAUCAGUCAUUGGCAAAAUUGCUGGAUAGUUUGCGACUAUAAGAUGGUUAGCAUUUAACAAUAAAAAAAAAACUAUCAACUGUCUAAUGGUAUCUAUGCAAGGCACUUUUGUUACAAUAAUUUCAUCUGGAUUGGUAAAAUAGUUUAAUAAAUAGAAGUUAAAAAAGCACUGCAAGAUGCAGUUAGGAAUAUUUGAAAUGUCCAUGAAAUGUAGGGUAUGAAAACCUUUAUGAAAAAUAUAUUGUAAGAUACAAUUAGGAAUAUUUGAAAUGUCUAUGAUCUGUUUGAUAUGGAUACAAUGAUACAUGACACAGCUACUAUAUUAUAGCGGUUGUGCUUACUUAUUUUAUGUUCUUUAAUCUAUGGCUUUUCCAUAAUUGAGUUGGAUUCAAAACCUUCAUUCAAAAUGUGUUUUCAGCUGAGGAUCCUCACCAUAUAGAUCAUACACUCAACAUUUCUCAGUCAGAAAAGUCGCCUACUGUGUCCAUUCCUUCACCAGUGAAAGAGAAUGUGUGGCCAAGUUCUGUUUGGGAAAUUCCACCCUCGAAUAAAAAAAUGCCGCCUUUGAAGAAUUUCCGACUGACCAAAGAACUGGUUCAGCAAAGGGUGAAAGAUAAUGUUGUAAUAGUGACCUUCGGUAACUAUGCAUUCAUGGAUUUUAUUCUGACUUGGGUCAAGAAAUUGACAGAUCUAGAAGUUUCUAAUUUUCUUGUUGGUGAGUGUCGUGAAAUAAUUUCUAUCCUGUUCUGUUUUGUAUUGUUUUUGGAUUUGCAGUGAUGUGUUGAUGGAAAUGCAUAUCCACCAUUAACUAAACUUUGUAAUAUGUGUUUGAACUUACUAUUAGGCGCAAUGGACACCAAAUUAUUGGAGGCACUAUAUUGGAAGGGUGUACCAGUUUUUGACAUGGGCAGCCAUAUGAGCACUGUAGAUGUUGGCUGGGGGACUCCAACAUUUCAUAAAAUGGGGAGAGAAAAAGUUAUUCUGUUAGACUCAAUACUGCCUUUUGGUUUUGAAGUAUUGAUGUGUGAUACCGACAUGGUUUGGUUAAAGGUGACCUUCAAUUUUACAUACAUGCUAUUAUGUUUUCUUAAGUUAAUCUGUUUUAGUUAGAAGUGUGGCUCAAUGCUUGCUUAGAUUUUGAUUAAUGUUUGUCAAAAGUAGCAGUAAAACUCAUAGUGACUAGGAUGUUUCAUUUUCUCUAUCAUGGAUGUAAUGAAGUAGCUUGCCGUAUGAAGUUAUCACAAUUGUAUUUGCAGAUGUCUUCAAGCCAAUAAUAUGAUUAUGUAAGAUAUAUACCAUUCCUAAUACAUGUUUUCAAUUGUGAAAUUGUUAAACAGAAUCCACUUCCAUAUCUUGCUCGUCAUCCAGGAGCAGAUAUUUUAACUUCAAGUGAUCAAGUAGUUCCAACAGUUGUUGAUGACAGUUUAGAAAUUUGGCAAGAAGGUGAAUAUUAUACUAUAAUGUGAACUUACUCUUAACAUUUUUAACUGUGCUUCUAUC
Molecule: long non-coding RNA, 20487 nt
Filed under: Medicago truncatula (barrel medic)
Lineage: Eukaryota; Viridiplantae; Streptophyta; Magnoliopsida; Fabales; Fabaceae
Description: long non-coding RNA (MTRU_LNC006421)
Rfam family: MIR5286 microRNA precursor family (bases 1671-1748)
Source: RNAcentral